RNAcentral lists this long non-coding RNA (2534 nucleotides) under Homo sapiens (human). RNAcentral's name for it is "PREDICTED lncRNA (TCONS_00208472)". The record is from RNAcentral. Lineage: Eukaryota; Metazoa; Chordata; Mammalia; Primates; Hominidae.
CGCCCUUGCCCGCACAGGUGUGGCACCCGCCCGCCCCGCCGCACGGAGCCGCCUGCCCGCGGCCACACGCCAGGCGUCACUCGGGCUGGCGCCGGUCUACCUAGGCAGGCGUGGGACCUGUCGGGGGCUUCACGGCAGCGCGGAAGGCCAGCCUGCAGAGAGGCUGGGCCCAGCGCCCUGACUGACCCAGCCCCGCCACGUCCAAGGUUCCCGCCCUCUGGAGGAAGCCGCGCAAUCACUCCGGGGGCGGGGAGAGACAGACAACUGAGAGGAAGGAGGUACCACGGGCACUCUCUCGCGAGAGGGCCGCAGAGCCGCCUUUGACGGGGGCGUGUACCUGGAGAGCAACGGUGGAUGGAAAGCCGAUUUCCAGUCUUUAUGAUAACGCCGAUGUUCCACUUGGGAAAGAUACUGUACAACAAUGAAAGUAGCCCUUUCUUUUGUCUUUCAAAGAAUGUAUUUUUAACAAACAGCCUCUGUGUGAUCCUUUUGACCACACAAUUUGUAGAGUUAACGCUGAAAUUUUCAUUAGCAACAAUGAAAGCACACACAGGCACAAUAUUAAUAUAGAUUAAUAUCAGCCUAUUUUGGUCAGAAAGGCUCAUUUAAAUGUUUAAGAGACAGAAGUCCCAAAUUGUAGUAAUUUCUUCCACUAGCAGGAGGAAGCUCAGAAUUAGUUUUUCUACAACACUAGAGGAAUACUACUCAAAAAUAAAAAGGAAUUAACCAUUGAUACAUGCAACAACACAGAUGAAUCUCAAAGUAAUUGUGCUGAAAGAAACCAGACCCAGAAAAAGAUAAAUUCUAUAUGAUCUCAUUUAUAUAAGACUCUAGGAAAUGCAAACUAAUCUACACAUACAGAAAACUGAGGGCAGGUACUGAGAAGGGUAGGAGGGGGGCGUUACAGAGAGGCAUGAGGAAACUUUUUGGGGUGAUAGAUAUGUUUACUACUUUGAUUGUAAGGAUGAGGUCGCAACUCUGUGCGUGUCAGUGGUAUAUUUUAAUAUGAACGGCUUAUUUUAUGUAAAUUCUACCCCUAUAAAGCUGUUUUUUUUAAAAAAAAAAACUUCUCUUUGAGAGACAUCACCUUUGUCUUUUAAACCAUCUAAUGUUGAAUCUAAAAGUUCAGUGUAAAGUUUAAUAAAAUCAGAGUGUGUAUGUGUCUUAAUUUCCAGGACAUAUAAUCAUAGUGAUUAAGCCAAAAGUGCUUAUAUGAUUACCUAUAAACUAUCAUAGUUAAAUGACUAAAUACCCUGCAUAAGGUAAAAUGAUUAUUUUAUUCCUAUAGAUUGAAAUUGCCCAACUUUUUAUUAGAGAAUAAUAGAUUAGAGGGCAUGUUGGCUCAUACCUGUAAGCCCAAUGCUUUGGGAGGCUGAAGCGGGAGGAUCCCUUGAGGCCAGGAGUUGAAGAUCAGCUUGGGCAACAUAGCAAGACCACAUCUCUACAAAAAAAUUUAAAAUAAAAUGUUUAUCCAAGCAUAGUGGCACUCACUCACCUGUAGUACUAGCUGCUGAGGAAGCUGAGGCCUGGAGUUCAAACUGCACAACGCUGCACUUCAACCUAUGUGACAAAGUGAGAUCCUAUCUCUAAAAUAAUUAAUUCAGUUUUUAUAAUUAGGGAACAUUUAAAUUCAGAUUAUAAGUAAAAAAUGGAAUAAACAGUCCUGUUACCUGAUAUGGUUUGGAUCUCCAUCCCUACCCAAAUCUUAUGUUGAAAUGUAAUCCCCAAUGCUGGAGGUGGGGCCUGGUGGGAGAUGAUUGGAUCAUGGUGGUGGUUUCUCAUGGUUUAACACCAUCGUCCCCUGGUGCUGUCGCCGUGAUGAUGAAUUCUCACGAGAUCUGGUUGGUUUAAAAGUGUGUGGCACCUCCCCCUUCUCUCUUGCUCCUGCUCCUACCAUGUGAGAUGCCUUGGUCCCCCUUUGCCUUCCGCCAUGAUUCAGAGUUCUCUGAGGCCUCCCCAGAAGCAGAUGCUGCCAUGCUUUCUGUACAGCCUGCAGAACCGUAAGCCAAUUAAACCUCUUUUCUUAUACAUUACCCAGUGUCAGAUAUUUCUUUAUAGCAGUGUGAGAAUGGAUUAAUACACUACGUCAUGCAAAAUGUAAAAACAGGCAACUCACUGAGAGUAAACCUAAUCAACUUGUUCAUUUAGAUAUAAACUGUAGAGACGACACUGCCAUCUAGUUGUUGAAUACUGAGUAUACUGUUGAAACAUUCUUGACAAUGUUCUAUUUCUCUUUUGUAGACUUACAAGGAACACACAGAAGCCCCUAACCAAUUACAUCUCCUUCCUAGGAGUGUGAAUGUGACUGCCAUAGUGCAGCCCAUGCUGCCCCUGGUAAUUAUAUGCCUCAACCCAAGCAGGUGAUUAUGUAUCCUGUGACUACCUCAUGCUCAAGGCUCUUCCAUAUUACACAAACACACACACUCAUACUCAAAAGCAAAACAAAAAUAAAACAAUCUGCUUGAUCCCUGCCCUAUAGAGAUUAGUCUAGUCAGGGAAACAUACAACUAAGCAUUCGAAUACAGUGUAGUGGG